This 253-nucleotide ribosomal RNA is filed under the name uncultured bacterium. RNAcentral's name for it is "partial 16S ribosomal RNA". It matches the Rfam family "Bacterial small subunit ribosomal RNA", at positions 524 to 776 of the family's 1533-position model. The record is from RNAcentral.
GACAGAGGGGGCAAGCGUUAUCCGGAAUUAUUGGGCGUAAAGGGUACGUAGGCGGCUGGUCAAGUCUGGGGUCAAAGGCCACAGCUCAACUGUGGGAAGGCCCUGGAAACUGACCGGCUAGAGUGAGGUAGGGGUUGCGGGAAUUCCCGGUGUAGCGGUGAAAUGCGUAGAGAUCGGGAAGAACACCUGAGGCGGAAGCGCGCAACUGGGCCUCAACUGACGCUGAGGUACGAAAGCUAGGGGAGCGAAGGGG